This 395-nucleotide ribosomal RNA is filed under the name uncultured bacterium. Its description in RNAcentral is "bacterial SSU rRNA". It matches the Rfam family "Bacterial small subunit ribosomal RNA", at positions 362 to 771 of the family's 1533-position model. The record is from RNAcentral.
UAUUGCACGAUGGGGGAAACCCUGAUGCAGCGACGCCGCGUGAGCGAUGAAGUAUUUCGGUAUGUAAACUUCUAUCAACAGGGACGAAAGAAAUGACGGUACCUGAAUAAGAAGCCCCGGCUAACUACGUGCCAGCAGCCGCGGUAAUACGUAGGGGGCAAGCGUUAUCCGGAAUUACUGGGUGUAAAGGGUGAGUAGGCGGCAUGGUAAGCCAGAUGUGAAAGCCUUGGGCUUAACCCGAGGAUUGCAUUUGGAACUAUCAAGCUAGAGUACAGGAGAGGAAAGCGGAAUUCCUAGUGUAGCGGUGAAAUGCGUAGAUAUUAGGAAGAACACCAGUGGCGAAGGCGGCUUUCUGGACUGAAACUGACGCUGAGGCACGAAAGCGUGGGGAGCGA